UACGAAGGGUGCAAGCGUUACUCGGAAUUACUGGGCGUAAAGCGUGCGUAGGCGGUUCGUUAAGUCUGAUGUGAAAGCCCUGGGCUCAACCUGGGAAUGGCAUUGGAAACUGGCGACCUAGAGUGCGGUAGAGGGUAGUGGAAUUCCCGGUGUAGCAGUGAAAUGCGUAGAUAUCGGGAGGAACACCGAUGGCGAAGGCAGCCCCCUGGGCUAGCACUGACGCUCAGGCACGAAAGCGUGGGGAGCAAACAGG
This 253-nucleotide ribosomal RNA is filed under the name uncultured bacterium. RNAcentral describes it as "partial 16S ribosomal RNA". It matches the Rfam family "Bacterial small subunit ribosomal RNA", at positions 524 to 776 of the family's 1533-position model. The record is from RNAcentral.